GAUCGCCGUGCCUUUGAAUCAGCAGCAUUCAUUAAUGAGCCUCAGCAGUGGGAACAGGCCCGAUC
Caenorhabditis elegans is the source of this 65-nucleotide non-coding RNA. The record is from Rfam. NCBI's taxonomy places the organism in Eukaryota, Metazoa, Nematoda, Chromadorea, Rhabditida, Rhabditidae.